This 409-nucleotide unclassified non-coding RNA is filed under the name fungal sp. RNAcentral's name for it is "partial internal transcribed spacer region". The stretch from base 1 to 46 matches the Rfam family "Eukaryotic small subunit ribosomal RNA", at positions 1786 to 1831 of the family's 1831-position model. Lineage: Eukaryota; Fungi. The record is from RNAcentral.
AAGUCGUAACAAGGUUUCCGUAGGUGAACCUGCGGAAGGAUCAUUAACACGUAUCCAAACGUUAAACCCCCCUGUGAACCUUCAGUCGUACUCGUACGUCCGUUAGAAAUCAUCGCCGAACAGUUUUCGAUUCAGUCUGCAAGGAGCGUGCAUGUUGUGCGUGUAAGUGGCCUGGCAUCCCCAAGCAGUUAGUGUCUGAAAGUGUCACUAACGUUAGUGUCUGAAAGUGUCACUAACAUGUGUAAGGAUGACGCAGUCACGAUCGUUGGAGGCCCACACGGCCGACGACCGGGUCACUGGGUGCAAGCCCCCUUAUCACACCCCUGCUCUAUCUAUGGUGAUCCUGCGGGAAGUCCUGCGGUCGAACGCCGAAACCGAACAACUGUUAACAAUGGAUAUCUUGGUUCUC